GUCGCUUCUCUUCCUUCCACGAUUAAUUAAUCACCAUGCCUUUGUGUUCUAUAGGUAACAUGCAUAGUCGCAUUUGUCAUCCAUUCUUAUGAUUAUUCAGAUUGAGUUAUUUUUGGAGAAAAACGACAAAAAAGGAGUCCGGAUAUUGAUUCCGUCAUCAGACUGACUUUAAGUCAUAGAUAAGACUUCCGGUUUAAAACAACCAAUCGUAUGAUAGAUAACAAAAAUCGAAAAAUAAAUAAGCCAAUCAGAGCGUUCUCCAUAUCAUGGUGUUUAGAUCGCAAGAACCACAACUAUUAUACCUCCUUAGAGAGGACAAUUAUUUUACGCGUUUUAUCUACAUGUAAACUACGAUUAUGCUACUUUAAUAUAUAGAUCCUCUCUGUAUUCUGUCUACUGUUUUCUUUGAAAUGUUUACUAUUUAAGGGGUCAUACCAGUUGCAUAUAUAUUAAAAUAAGUAAAACAUGUGGAAACAAGAAUGUGUCCAUAGUACACAGAUGCCACCUCGGCACUAUAUUUACUAAGUUUCGAGUUGAUUGGACUUCAACUUCAUCAAAAACUACCUCGACCAAAAACUUUAACCUGAAGCGGGACAGACGGACGGACGUCACGAACGAACGAACGAACGCACGGAUGUACAGACUAGAAAACAUAAUGCACAUAAAUGGGGCAUAAAAAUUUAUUGUUGAAAGUGAAAGUAGUGAUUUGGCAAAAAUGAAAGUAGGGUAGAGACUAGAGGGAGGCAGGACCUUUUCGGGACUUCGGGAUCGGGUGUUUUUAAGCUCGGGAUCUGGGGAUUGAUCAAUACGGGAUCCGGGAAUAUAUUUUUCGAUUUCGGUAUUUCGGGAUAUGAAUUUCUUUAAAUUCUGCAUCUCGGGAUUUCAUGUUUUUAAGACCGGGAUUUCGGGAUCAGGACCCCUCCGACCACCCCUCAAAUUAGCCUUAGUCGGUCUUAGUCAUUUAUACAAGAUUCAUAUCCUACCAUUGGCAUGUUA
RNAcentral lists this long non-coding RNA (996 nucleotides) under Mytilus galloprovincialis (Mediterranean mussel). Lineage: Eukaryota; Metazoa; Mollusca; Bivalvia; Mytilida; Mytilidae. The record is from RNAcentral.